Molecule: long non-coding RNA, 287 nt
Filed under: Elaeis guineensis (African oil palm)
Lineage: Eukaryota; Viridiplantae; Streptophyta; Magnoliopsida; Arecales; Arecaceae
Description: long non-coding RNA (EGUI_LNC078739)
Source: RNAcentral
UGUUUAGGAUGACUCAGGGUUAAACUGUCAACCCUGAUUAGAUCAUCCGAAUCGUGCUCAACUCAAACAGUCCUGUGACUCCUCACUAGGACUAUCCUGACCAAAAUUUUUCUAAAUUGAAACACGACUGUACACAGCUCCUGAACUGGAGUGGUCAAUUCAUUCUUGACACACGCACUGACAAGUCAAGUACUUGACUACACCCAGCAUCCUUCCGUCACUGAAUUAGAAAUUCAGAUAGUCCAGUGCCUAAGUGCAGUGAGUUACUUGCAAGUCAUCGUGACGGU